CUGGGAUUAGAUACCCUGUUAUUUAAAAAUAAAAAAAAUAAAAUUAAAAAUUAAAUGUAUAAAUCAUUAAAUUAAAAUAAUUUGGCGGUAUUUUUAGAAUUAGAGGGAUUUGUUUUAUAAUUGAUAAUCCACGAUUAGAUUUACCUAUUUAAUAUAUUUUAUAUAUUGUUGUUUUAAUUUUGUCAUAAAUAUGAAUUACAUUAAAAAAUUUUAAUAUAAAUAUAAUUCAAAUCAAAAUGUAGAAUAAAUAGGAAUUUAAAUGAAUCACAAUUUAAUUAAUAAUUGAAUAUAUUUAUUUAAUUUAAUAUAGAAAGAGGAUUUAAUAGUAAAUUUAUUUAUAUAAAUAAAUUGAAUUAUAUAAAAAAUAUGUACAAAUCGCCC
Molecule: ribosomal RNA, 381 nt
Filed under: Dolichoderus quadripunctatus
Lineage: Eukaryota; Metazoa; Arthropoda; Insecta; Hymenoptera; Formicidae
Description: partial 12S ribosomal RNA
Source: RNAcentral